Molecule: ribosomal RNA, 468 nt
Filed under: uncultured bacterium
Lineage: Bacteria
Description: partial 16S ribosomal RNA
Rfam family: Bacterial small subunit ribosomal RNA
Source: RNAcentral
GACGAACGCUGGCGGCGUGCUUAACACAUGCAAGUCGAACGGAAAGGCCCUGCUUUUGUGGGGUGCUCGAGUGGCGAACGGGUGAGUAACACGUGAGUAACCUGCCCUUGACUUUGGGAUAAAUUCAGGAAACUGGGGCUAAUACCGGAUAGGAGCUCCUGCAGCAUGGUGGGGGUUGGAAAGUUUCGGCGGUUGGGGAUGGACUCGCGGCUUAUCAGCUGGUUGGUGGGGUAGUGGCUUACCAAGGCUUUGACGGGUAGCCGGCCUGAGAGGGUGACCGGCCACAUUGGUACUGAGAUACGGCCCAGACUCCUACGGGAGGCAGCAGUGGGGAGUAUUGCGCAAUGGGCGGAAGCCUGAUGCAGCAACGCCGCGUGCGGGAUGACGGCCUUCGGGUUGUAAACCGCUUUCGCCUGUGACGAAGCGUGAGUGACGGUAAUGGGUAAAGAAGCACCGGCUAACUACGUG